Molecule: non-coding RNA, 288 nt
Filed under: Helianthus annuus (common sunflower)
Lineage: Eukaryota; Viridiplantae; Streptophyta; Magnoliopsida; Asterales; Asteraceae
Description: Bacterial small subunit ribosomal RNA
Rfam family: Bacterial small subunit ribosomal RNA
Source: Rfam by way of RNAcentral
AAUCCCACUCGUUCCUCCUCAUCAGGGCUUAACUCUAGACAAGCUGUGGAAACUACCAAGUUGGAGUACGGUAGGGGCAAAGGGAAUUUCCGGUGGAGCCGUGAAAUGCGUAGAGAUCGGAAAGAACACCAACCGCGAAAGCACUCUGCUGGGCCACACUGACACUGAGGGACGAAAGCUAGAGGAGUGAAUGGGAUUAGAUGCCCUAGUAGUCCUAGCCGUAAACGAUGGUACUAGGCGUUGUGCGUAUCGACCCGUACAGUGUUGUAGCUAACGUGUUAAGUAUCC